RNAcentral lists this ribosomal RNA (403 nucleotides) under uncultured bacterium. RNAcentral describes it as "bacterial SSU rRNA". It matches the Rfam family "Bacterial small subunit ribosomal RNA", at positions 27 to 433 of the family's 1533-position model. The record is from RNAcentral.
GGACGAACGCUGGCGGCGUGCUUAACACAUGCAAGUCGAGCGGUAAGGCCCUUUCGGGGGUACACGAGCGGCGAACGGGUGAGUAACACGUGGGUGACCUGCCCUCAGCUCUGGGAUAAGCCUGGGGAACCGGGUCUAAUACCGGAUAUGACUCCAUGACGCAUGUUGUGGGGUGGAAAGCCUUGUGCGGCUGAGGAUGGGCCCGCGGCCUAUCAGCUUGUUGGUGGGGUGAUGGCCUACCAAGGCGACGACGGGUAGCCGGCCUGAGAGGGCGACCGGCCACACUGGGACUGAGACGCGGCCCAGACUCCUACGGGAGGCAGCAGUGGGGAAUCUUGCGCAAUGGGCGAAAGCCUGACGCAGCGACGCCGCGUGAGGGAUGACGGCCUGGUGUAACUACUUC